Puma concolor (puma) is the source of this 1081-nucleotide non-coding RNA. NCBI's taxonomy places the organism in Eukaryota, Metazoa, Chordata, Mammalia, Carnivora, Felidae. The record is from RefSeq and is a predicted model, not a curated record.
CCAGCUUUGUCUCCUGAACAGCUCGUUCACCAUUUCUUCCUCCGGAGUCGGAAAGGCGCCCUUCUUUGGGCUCUUGAGAAGGUGGUCCGGAAGCUGGCGACCAAGGAACAAGACAAAUUCAUAGGAAAAAUGGAAAAGCAAAAGUUCUGAUGUUUUGCUUUUGAUUUCACCAACUCCAGGUGUUUUCUUUUUAGAAAGAUCCCAGGGAGAUUAACACUUCAAGACAUCUCUUAUCUUGGACAUAUUCUGAUGUCCUCAAAAGAAAAUGUGACUGCAUCCAAAUGCUAUGAUGGCUCCCCAGUUGUGCAUUGUGACAUUGUGCCAACAUCAGAGAUGGAUACUACUGCAGAGUGGAGAGGUUCUGAGAAGCAGAAGCAUGUUUGACAUUAGCUGCAGUGGAACACCACCUCAAAGCCUGUCCUCUUUGAACUCUCCUGCUUGGGUCUCAGCUGCUGCAGCAAGGAAGCCUAGAUAAGGCCAUAUGGAGGAGAACUGAAACCUUUGGGCAACAGCCCCAGCUGAACUUCCAGUUGGCAUCUGCCACCAGCUGUCAGCUUUGGGAGUGAGGUCGUUUGGACCUUUCUUCUGCACAUCACAGAAUGGGAGUCCUUUUCCAGAUGUACUCCAUGUGUGAGGUUUGGAAAAAAACACAUAUUAGUUGAUAAUAUUGCAGUGUGAUGGAAAAAGAAUGGCAAAUAAGAUCUAGCAGAGAAGAAUGCCAAUAGGAUCCCUGUGAGGUGGGCAUUCCAGACAGCAAGAGGGAUGGAUGUUCCAAGAGUGGGCAAGCUUGAGGCGAGCAAAAAAGAUACCUAUUAUGAUGAAGUCAUAGGUAUUGAGCUGGAAAUAAAUAAGGACAGGUGGCUAGGUCCGAAGACUAAAUAGAGAUUUCUUGUGGCAGAAAGAUGAAUACCCAAUACUUGUUAGAGGUGAUUGGUUUAGAAAGGGUUUUACCUUAUCCAGAUACUUGAAGAACCAUUAUACAGGGGGCAAAGAAAAGAAUGCCUAACAACACUAUUACUAAAUUAUACUUGAAUUUAAAAAUAAAGCCUCUUUCAUUCUUAAAAGUACCCAUUUCAAAAGC